AGCGUACACGGUGGAUGCCCUGGCAGUCAGAGGCGAUGAAGGACGUGCUAAUCUGCGAUAAGCGUCGGUAAGGUGAUAUGAACCGUUAUAACCGGCGAUUUCCGAAUGGGGAAACCCAGUGUGAUUCGUCACACUAUCAUUAACUGAAUCCAUAGGUUAAUGAGGCGAACCGGGGGAACUGAAACAUCUAAGUACCCCGAGGAAAAGAAAUCAACCGAGAUUCCCCCAGUAGCGGCGAGCGAACGGGGAGCAGCCCAGAGCCUGAAUCAGUGUGUGUGUUAGUGGAAGCGUCUGGAAAGGCGCGCGAUACAGGGUGACAGCCCCGUACACAAAAAUGCACAUACUGUGAGCUCGAUGAGUAGGGCGGGACACGUGGUAUCCUGUCUGAAUAUGGGGGGACCAUCCUCCAAGGCUAAAUACUCCUGACUGACCGAUAGUGAACCAGUACCGUGAGGGAAAGGCGAAAAGAACCCCGGCGAGGGGAGUGAAAAAGAACCUGAAACCGUGUACGUACAAGCAGUGGGAGCACAGAGCAAUCUGUGUGACUGCGUACCUUUUGUAUAAUGGGUCAGCGACUUAUAUUCUGUAGCAAGGUUAACCGAAUAGGGGAGCCGAAGGGAAACCGAGUCUUAACUGGGCGUUAAGUUGCAGGGUAUAGACCCGAAACCCGGUGAUCUAGCCAUGGGCAGGUUGAAGGUUGGGUAACACUAACUGGAGGACCGAACCGACUAAUGUUGAAAAAUUAGCGGAUGACUUGUGGCUGGGGGUGAAAGGCCAAUCAAACCGGGAGAUAGCUGGUUCUCCCCGAAAGCUAUUUAGGUAGCGCCUCGUGAAUUCAUCUCCGGGGGUAGAGCACUGUUUCGGCAAGGGGGUCAUCCCGACUUACCAACCCGAUGCAAACUGCGAAUACCGGAGAAUGUUAUCACGGGAGACACACGGCGGGUGCUAACGUCCGUCGUGAAGAGGGAAACAACCCAGACCGCCAGCUAAGGUCCCAAAGUCAUGGUUAAGUGGGAAACGAUGUGGGAAGGCCCAGACAGCCAGGAUGUUGGCUUAGAAGCAGCCAUCAUUUAAAGAAAGCGUAAUAGCUCACUGGUCGAGUCGGCCUGCGCGGAAGAUGUAACGGGGCUAAACCAUGCACCGAAGCUGCGGCAGCGACGCUUAUGCGUUGUUGGGUAGGGGAGCGUUCUGUAAGCCUGUGAAGGUGUGCUGUGAGGCAUGCUGGAGGUAUCAGAAGUGCGAAUGCUGACAUAAGUAACGAUAAAGCGGGUGAAAAGCCCGCUCGCCGGAAGACCAAGGGUUCCUGUCCAACGUUAAUCGGGGCAGGGUGAGUCGACCCCUAAGGCGAGGCCGAAAGGCGUAGUCGAUGGGAAACAGGUUAAUAUUCCUGUACUUGGUGUUACUGCGAAGGGGGGACGGAGAAGGCUAUGUUGGCCGGGCGACGGUUGUCCCGGUUUAAGCGUGUAGGCUGGUUUUCCAGGCAAAUCCGGAAAAUCAAGGCUGAGGCGUGAUGACGAGGCACUACGGUGCUGAAGCAACAAAUGCCCUGCUUCCAGGAAAAGCCUCUAAGCAUCAGGUAACAUCAAAUCGUACCCCAAACCGACACAGGUGGUCAGGUAGAGAAUACCAAGGCGCUUGAGAGAACUCGGGUGAAGGAACUAGGCAAAAUGGUGCCGUAACUUCGGGAGAAGGCACGCUGAUAUGUAGGUGAAGUCCCUCGCGGAUGGAGCUGAAAUCAGUCGAAGAUACCAGCUGGCUGCAACUGUUUAUUAAAAACACAGCACUGUGCAAACACGAAAGUGGACGUAUACGGUGUGACGCCUGCCCGGUGCCGGAAGGUUAAUUGAUGGGGUCAGCGCAAGCGAAGCUCUUGAUCGAAGCCCCGGUAAACGGCGGCCGUAACUAUAACGGUCCUAAGGUAGCGAAAUUCCUUGUCGGGUAAGUUCCGACCUGCACGAAUGGCGUAAUGAUGGCCAGGCUGUCUCCACCCGAGACUCAGUGAAAUUGAACUCGCUGUGAAGAUGCAGUGUACCCGCGGCAAGACGGAAAGACCCCGUGAACCUUUACUAUAGCUUGACACUGAACAUUGAGCCUUGAUGUGUAGGAUAGGUGGGAGGCUUUGAAGUGUGGACGCCAGUCUGCAUGGAGCCGACCUUGAAAUACCACCCUUUAAUGUUUGAUGUUCUAACGUUGACCCGUAAUCCGGGUUGCGGACAGUGUCUGGUGGGUAGUUUGACUGGGGCGGUCUCCUCCUAAAGAGUAACGGAGGAGCACGAAGGUUGGCUAAUCCUGGUCGGACAUCAGGAGGUUAGUGCAAUGGCAUAAGCCAGCUUGACUGCGAGCGUGACGGCGCGAGCAGGUGCGAAAGCAGGUCAUAGUGAUCCGGUGGUUCUGAAUGGAAGGGCCAUCGCUCAACGGAUAAAAGGUACUCCGGGGAUAACAGGCUGAUACCGCCCAAGAGUUCAUAUCGACGGCGGUGUUUGGCACCUCGAUGUCGGCUCAUCACAUCCUGGGGCUGAAGUAGGUCCCAAGGGUAUGGCUGUUCGCCAUUUAAAGUGGUACGCGAGCUGGGUUUAGAACGUCGUGAGACAGUUCGGUCCCUAUCUGCCGUGGGCGCUGGAGAACUGAGGGGGGCUGCUCCUAGUACGAGAGGACCGGAGUGGACGCAUCACUGGUGUUCGGGUUGUCAUGCCAAUGGCACUGCCCGGUAGCUAAAUGCGGAAGAGAUAAGUGCUGAAAGCAUCUAAGCACGAAACUUGCCCCGAGAUGAGUUCUCCCUGACCCUUUGA
RNAcentral lists this ribosomal RNA (2789 nucleotides) under Escherichia coli. Its description in RNAcentral is "bacterial LSU rRNA". It matches the Rfam family "Bacterial large subunit ribosomal RNA". Lineage: Bacteria; Pseudomonadati; Pseudomonadota; Gammaproteobacteria; Enterobacterales; Enterobacteriaceae. The record is from RNAcentral.